UGUAUAAUGAUGAAACCCAUGCGUGUCAACUGACUCUGUAAACCCCUAUGUGUUGAUACUCUGGUUGGCGUUCUGUUAGCUUGAGCACUCAGCGCAAUAGGGGUCCAGAGGCAUGAUCUUAAAUCACUUCUGAAUACA
This is a small nucleolar RNA of Sparus aurata (gilthead seabream), 138 nucleotides long. NCBI's taxonomy places the organism in Eukaryota, Metazoa, Chordata, Actinopteri, Spariformes, Sparidae. The record is from Ensembl.